This 301-nucleotide ribosomal RNA is filed under the name uncultured bacterium. Its description in RNAcentral is "partial 16S ribosomal RNA". It matches the Rfam family "Bacterial small subunit ribosomal RNA", at positions 509 to 808 of the family's 1533-position model. The record is from RNAcentral.
CAGUCGCCACGGGAAUACGAAGGGGGCUAGCGUUGCUCGGAAUGACUGGGCGUAAAGGGCGCGUAGGCGGCGAUCAAAGUCAGGCGUGAAAUUCCUGGGCUCAACCUGGGGGCUGCGUUUGAUACUUGAUUGCUAGAGUGGGGAAGAGGGUCGUGGAAUUCCCAGUGUAGAGGUGAAAUUCGUAGAUAUUGGGAAGAACACUGGUGGCGAAGGCGGCAACCUGGUCCAUAACUGACGCUGAGGCGCGAAAGCGUGGGGAGCAAACAGGAUUAGAUACCCGCGUAGUCCCUGUCUCUUAACA